GAUGAAGAACGCAGUGAAAUGCGAUACGUAAUGUGAAUUGAAGAAUUCAGUGAAUCAUCGAGUCUUUGAACGCACAUUGCGCCCCCUGGUAUUCCGGGGGGCAUGCCUGUCCGAGCGUCAUUGCUGCCCUCAAGCACGGCUUGUGUGUUGGGCCUCCGUCCUCCUCCCGGGGGACGGGCCCGAAAGGCAGCGGCGGCACCGCGUCCGGUCCUCGAGCGUAUGGGGCUUCGUCACCCGCUCUUGUAGGCCCGGCCGGCGCUUGCCGACACAUCAAUCUUUUUUCCAGGUUGACCUCGGAUCAGGUAGGGAUACCCGCUGAACUUAAGCAUAUCAAUAAGCGGAGGA
RNAcentral lists this unclassified non-coding RNA (345 nucleotides) under soil metagenome. Its description in RNAcentral is "partial contains 5.8S ribosomal RNA, internal transcribed spacer 2, and large subunit ribosomal RNA". The stretch from base 1 to 120 matches the Rfam family "5.8S ribosomal RNA", at positions 35 to 154 of the family's 154-position model. The record is from RNAcentral.